CUAAAGCGUUCAUUCAAACGUUUCUAAUGUAACUUGUAACUGACCGACCAGUAAUUGCUAAUUAACAGAUUCGCUAUUUCUUUUUCUUUUUCUUUCAAGGGCAUGCAAUGAAAUGCUUGAAGAUAAAGUCGUACAUGUCACAACGAAACCUCUACUAAAUAUGUUAGAUGAUGCUGCAAGCGAGUGAAGGUACACGUCUGUGUGUGUCUAUGUCUACCUUAGGCCGAACGAACACAGAGACGGCGGGUUCAAAUUCGAGAGGACAAAGAUGUUUGUUUUCCAUAACCGCCACACAGUGUCAUUGUCAUAAUUCCCCAUUUUCGGAGUUUCUGCCUCGACCGGUCAGGUCGCCUAUUUUUCAUGUGAAUAACUUGACGUGUGUACCGGAUAAGUGUCACACGACCAUGAAACUAACCCAUACAGCCUAUUAAUAAUCGACUUGUUACACCAGGACAAGCGCUCAAGUUAUGUCACUUUCAGCCUUUACAGUGUACAUCAAAAAACUGUUGUAUUUUUUUGAAGAAAUGGAAGGCAGAAAUAACUUUUAGUAUGCCAUUUUUCCGUUGAAUAUACAUCUCUAAAGUUUCAUUCUG
Molecule: long non-coding RNA, 593 nt
Organism: Zootermopsis nevadensis
Lineage: Eukaryota; Metazoa; Arthropoda; Insecta; Blattodea; Termopsidae
Source: RefSeq, a predicted model, not a curated record